UCUCACAUGAGGAACUAGUGUUCCCGUGUCAAUACCCGUUUUCGCUUUACAAUCAUAGAAUGGAGGCGAGUGGAAACAAGGCUCCAUCGACAUAGCCCGACCACACGAAGGAUCGGGAGUUGUACGGUUUUCGGGUCUAUAGAGUAUCCAAGGCUUUAAACCUCCAAGACCUUGAGCUACAUAUCCAAAUGUAGACCAAGCAC
RNAcentral lists this small RNA (203 nucleotides) under Arabidopsis thaliana (thale cress). Its description in RNAcentral is "ATSL080160". The record is from RNAcentral. Lineage: Eukaryota; Viridiplantae; Streptophyta; Magnoliopsida; Brassicales; Brassicaceae.